RNAcentral lists this long non-coding RNA (564 nucleotides) under Homo sapiens (human). RNAcentral describes it as "HSALNT0271854". Lineage: Eukaryota; Metazoa; Chordata; Mammalia; Primates; Hominidae. The record is from RNAcentral.
CACAACUUGGCUAUAGUUUUCUAACAGCCUUGUCUACACAUGUAACCAGUUUACUCUUAAGUCCCUGGAUUAGUUAGUCAAAAGGUGCUCUAGAGAAACAGAACCAAAGAAUGUGUAUACAGAGGCAUAUUUAUUUCAAAGAAUUGGCUCAUGUAAUUGUGAAAGCUUGGUUAAGGCCAAAAUUAAGCAGGGCAGAGACUUAGGAAAGAGUUGCAGUUGUGUUCAAAAGCAGUCAGCUGGCUGAAUUUAUCCUCACUUGGAAAAGACUUGGAUUGGGCCUACACCACUGGUUGUCUUGGACCUCUGGCUUACAGAUGGAAGUUUGUGGGACUUUUCAUCCAUCUAUCUGUCAAGUAAAGUUGAGGAUGUAUUGUCAGAUCCUUGUACAGAAGAAAAGAAGUGAAAAUAAUGAAAACAAUGGCAAGAGAAGUUACUAUUUCCCAGAGGAAAAACGCUGCUGUAAAAGGAGCUCAUAUAUUUUAGCUGUGGUGUUAAUUUUGAAGUCAGCAUGAGUCAUUAAAUUAAAGUAUUGUAAUUUGGAAAUAUAUUUAAAAUGAAAAGAAA